This 379-nucleotide ribosomal RNA is filed under the name uncultured bacterium. RNAcentral's name for it is "partial 16S ribosomal RNA". It matches the Rfam family "Bacterial small subunit ribosomal RNA", at positions 338 to 732 of the family's 1533-position model. The record is from RNAcentral.
CCUACGGGUGGCUGCAGUGGGGAAUAUUGGGCAAUGGGCGCAAGCCUGACCCAGCAACGCCGCGUGAGGGAAGAAGGCUUUCGGGUUGUAAACUUCUUUUAGGCGGGAAGAGCAGAAGACGGUACCUCUUGAAUAAGCCACGGCUAACUACGUGCCAGUAGCCGCGGUAAUACGGAGGUGGCAAGCGUGUUCCGGAUUUACUGGGUGUAAAGGGCGUGCAGCCGGGAAGACAAGUCAGAUGUGAAAUCCCGCGGCUCAACCGCGGACCUGCCGUUGAAACUGUUGUUCUUGAGUACCAGAGAGGUCAUCGGAAUGCCUUGUGUAGCGGUGAAAUGCGUAGAUAUAAGGAAGAACACCAGUGGCGAAGGCGGAAGGCCGG